This 213-nucleotide long non-coding RNA is filed under the name Mytilus galloprovincialis (Mediterranean mussel). The record is from RNAcentral. Lineage: Eukaryota; Metazoa; Mollusca; Bivalvia; Mytilida; Mytilidae.
AAAUAAAAAGACAAACAGACAAAUAAUAGUACAAAAGACACAACAUAGAAAACUAAAGACUAAGCAACACGAAUCCCACCAAAAAACUGGGGGUGAUCUCAGGUGCUCCGGAAGGGUAGGCAGAUCCUGAUACACAUGUGGCACCCGUUGUAUUGCUUAUGUUAUUGCAAAUUCGGUAAAUAGUCUUAUUCGGUAGGUCAUAUUCGUGAAAAG